Molecule: unclassified non-coding RNA, 370 nt
Filed under: uncultured fungus
Lineage: Eukaryota; Fungi
Description: partial contains 5.8S ribosomal RNA and internal transcribed spacer 2
Rfam family: 5.8S ribosomal RNA (bases 1-133)
Source: RNAcentral
UGGUUCUGGCAUCGAUGAAGAACGCAGCGAAAUGCGAUAAGUAAUGUGAAUUGCAGAAUUUUGUGAAUCAUCGAAUUUUUGAACGCACAUUGCACCUUUUGGUAUUCCGAAAGGUAUGCUUGUUCGAGCGUCGUUUAAUUAUACUAGAUUUAAUUAUCUGGUGAUCUGAGGAAUUUUAUUUUCAAAAAUAAAAUCCUUUAAAAUUAUUGCGCGGUACUCUUAUCUCGCAGUCAUUUAAUUAUGUCUGUUUUGUCCAGUACAUUAUUUUAUUAUAAAAUAUUGGAUAAUCUCUACGAGUGCUAUUGCCAAAAUAUAGUUACUGCAGAUAAUUAUAAAAAUCGACCUCGAAUCAAGUAGGAAGACCCGCUGA